Long non-coding RNA from Dreissena polymorpha, 768 nucleotides. RefSeq lists it as uncharacterized. NCBI's taxonomy places the organism in Eukaryota, Metazoa, Mollusca, Bivalvia, Myida, Dreissenidae. The transcript is spliced from 3 exons. The record is from RefSeq and is a predicted model, not a curated record.
AGAUUCAGAGCCUCGUUUUAAAUUGAAAGGCCGAAGUUCACCUCGUGUUUCCUGGCGGUGAUUUUCAGCGAACAAUAAAAUUGUUGCUUAAAAGCAGGGUCAAGAUGCCUUGUAAGAAAAAGAAGGUUGUCCAACAUGUGCACUCCAGCCCUGCACAGAAAUCUGCAAAGGCAGUAUCCAAUAAAUACAAAACUGAAAGGGAAGCGGAUGAGUCCGAGGAAGACGAUGGCUGUACGGAGAGCCCUUUAUAGCAAACCAGAUGAUUCCAUGGUUUUGGCACCAACAAAAAAGGAAAUGGUAUUAAGAAACUCUGUUAUUAAGGGAUACCAUUUUUUUCCAAAUAAGACCACCCAAUACCACACCCCCUACUCAGUUACUAGUCCAGCCAGAAUACACUAACAUUCAUGAUGAGUGUGCCAGUUUGGUAUGGUUACCAGAAUUAGAUACUUUUCCAGACCAUAUGCAUUCACUUAUUACGGAUGAAAAGAGGCAGCUAAAACUUCAAGAUGUGGCCGGUCUACCCAUUGGCCAUGUCCCAAGGAAUUUGGCAGGAUUCUUCCGGCCUUUAAUGGAGAGUGGACGCAUUGUAGCAGUGGUGACUGGAGAACCUGUCCCAAGCUUUCCUCCUUGGCCUGCACUAAAGGAAGAAGGAGGGGGUGUAGUGCUUCCAUGUAAUUACAUUAUCACACAUUCUGAUAUUGAGGCACAAUAUAAUAAACUUUCAGAACUGCUCAAAAGUAUCCCUGAAGGGACGGCCAUGGAACUUGU